Molecule: long non-coding RNA, 1336 nt
Filed under: Homo sapiens (human)
Lineage: Eukaryota; Metazoa; Chordata; Mammalia; Primates; Hominidae
Description: HSALNT0326234
Source: RNAcentral
AUUUAACAGGAUGACUCUGGGCACUGUGUUAACAAGAGACUGAAGGGGACAAGAGUAGAAACGGAUAACCAGUUUGGAGUCUACUGUAGCAAUUCUGGUAACAGAUGAUGACGUCGGCCAGUAACAGCAGAAGUGAAAAUAUGUGGUAGAUUAUGGGUAUAUUGUGAGGGUAAAUCUAUUUGAACUUUUUUAUGGUGUGAGAAGGAAAGAAGAAGCAUGGACGACUCUAAGAAAACUUGAUUUGAUAUGAGCUAAAAGGGGGAAGAAAAGUAAAAAGCAGGUAAAGUUCAGAGACCCGCUCUAGAUGUGAUAAAUUAAAUGUACCCAUGAAACUCCAAGGGCAGAUGUCAAGAGAGCAGUUGCAUGUAUGUGUCUGGAUUUCACGAGAAAGAUCCAGAUUGAUAAUCAUUAAUGAGUUAUUAAGACUUAAAACCAAGAGAUUCAAUAAGAUUACCAAGGAAAUGAGUGCAACUAGAGAAAAGAAGAAGAUCAUUUACUGAGACGAGGAACACUCCAAUAUUAAAACGAGGGAGGUAGAGUGGAAUCAGUAAAGACUAAGGAAUGGUCAAUAAGGAGGAUGAAAACCAGUAGAGAGUGGUGUCUUGAAAGCCCAGUGAAAAAAGCACUUCAAAAAGAAAGGAAAUAUGUGAUUUAUCAGGUUGAAUGCUGCUGAAAGGACAAAUAAAAUGAGGAUUGAGAAUUUGACCUUUGGAUUUAGUAACUUGAAAUCAUUGUUGACAAGAGCAUCUUUACUAAAAUGAUAGAAACAAAGACACAAUUUGAGUGGGUUUAAAAGAGAAUGAGAAAGGAGGAACUAGAAGUGACUAUAUGCCAUAUUUUUUAGGGGUUUUGUGGUAGAGGAGAGCAAAGAAAUGGAGUGAUAGGCUACAGGGAAAAAUAGGGUAAAGAGAGGGUUUAUUUGAGAUUAUUAAAAUAAUAGCAUAUAAGUAGAUGAAUGAAAAUAAUUCAACUGGAGAAAAAAAUUGAUGAUGCAAGAGAGGAGCAUUUCUGGAGUAAUAUUCCUGAGAAUGUGAGAAGGCUGGAAUCUGAUAAACAAUUGAAGAGGCUGUCCUUACUAGGAACACGGACACCUCAUCUACAGCAAGAGGAAAAUACAGAUAUUUUGCCCUUUUGGAAACUGAAGAUAAAACAGAAAAAGAAAAGAAUUUUAAGAUAUGUUAAUCUAGCAAAACUAACAUAAGAAUGGCCACCGUGAAUUUCAUGAAAUUUUGCCACAGAGCAAUACUAAAAACUGAAUGAUUAUGCCUUUUUCCAUAUUUUAAUUAAAACUGAAAUGAAAAUACUCACUGUUGGAAAGUAAAGAAAUUAAGCCAUA